Otolemur garnettii (small-eared galago) is the source of this 193-nucleotide non-coding RNA. NCBI's taxonomy places the organism in Eukaryota, Metazoa, Chordata, Mammalia, Primates, Galagidae. The record is from Rfam.
GGGGAGAGAGGUGUUUAAGCUAGUUUGCUGAGGCCACCCAGUGUGGGCUCAGGAAGGGAAGGAAUGUGACUGAGGCUGGGUGUGGCUGGGGAGCACAGCCAGUUAUGGGUUUUUCUUGGGGCUCUGAUAGAUGUGAGCAGAGCUGGAGGCCCCUCUCUCCCAGCCCCAACACACACACUAGGACCUUUCUUCA